UUCCAAACCUUUCCUUCUACGUUGAUGAGGUUGACCUAAGAGAUAAUAAUGAGAGAGAGAAGCAUUAGUCUUUUCAGAUGAAGUGAAUAUGAUGAGAAGAAGAAGACGAGGAUGAUGAAGAUGAAGCAGAUAUGUGAAGUACAUUGAAACUGCUGCAAGUUGUUGAAUUAUGACCUAUCUUCCCACAAUGUGAACACUUUCUCCUACACAAAAUAUUAUGAGUUUACUCGUUUUGAGGGUGUGGAAACAAGAGGAAAUAUUAAGUGCUUUAUAAUAUGUUUUCUAGUACAAUUUGGGUCUUAUGAAAAUAGGAGCAUACACCAAGUGAAG
RNAcentral lists this long non-coding RNA (330 nucleotides) under Nicotiana benthamiana. RNAcentral describes it as "long non-coding RNA (NBEN_LNC022373)". The record is from RNAcentral. Lineage: Eukaryota; Viridiplantae; Streptophyta; Magnoliopsida; Solanales; Solanaceae.